Molecule: transfer RNA, 73 nt
Filed under: Cordylochernes scorpioides
Lineage: Eukaryota; Metazoa; Arthropoda; Arachnida; Pseudoscorpiones; Chernetidae
Description: tRNA-Thr
Rfam family: tRNA
About the family: Transfer RNA (tRNA) molecules are approximately 80 nucleotides in length.
Source: RNAcentral
UCCAGGGUAGCCUAGUGGACAUGGUAUCUGCCUGGUAAGCGGAACAAUGUGGGUUCGAUUCCCAUCCCUGGAC